RNAcentral lists this transfer RNA (57 nucleotides) under Ypthima akragas. RNAcentral describes it as "tRNA-Tyr". The record is from RNAcentral. Lineage: Eukaryota; Metazoa; Arthropoda; Insecta; Lepidoptera; Nymphalidae.
AAUGGCUGAGGUUAAAGCGAUAAAUUGUAAAUUUAUUUACGAGAAAUUCUCUUUUAU